This 142-nucleotide ribosomal RNA is filed under the name uncultured eukaryote. RNAcentral's name for it is "partial 18S ribosomal RNA". It matches the Rfam family "Eukaryotic small subunit ribosomal RNA", at positions 1299 to 1451 of the family's 1831-position model. The record is from RNAcentral.
UGGUGGAGUGAUUUGUCUGGUUAAUUCCGUUAACGAACGAGACCCCAGCCUGCUAAAUAGUUGCGCUAAUGAAUCUUCAUUGGUGACAGCUUCUUAGAGGGACUUCUAGCAACAAGCUAGCGGAAGAGUGGGGCCGAUAACA